UGCCAGACUCCUACGGGAGGCAGCAGUGGGGGAUAUUGCACAAUGGGGGAAACCCUGAUGCAGCGACGCCGCGUGAGUGAAGAAGUAAUUCGUUACGUAAAGCUCUAUCAGCAGGGAAGAAAAUGACGGUACCUGACUAAGAAGCCCCGGCUAACUACGUGCCAGCAGCCGCGGUAAUACGUAGGGGGCAAGCGUUAUCCGGAUUUACUGGGUGUAAAGGGAGCGUAGACGGCUGUGCAAGCCAGAUGUGAAAGCCCGGGGCUCAACCCCGGGACUGCAUUUGGAACUGUGUGGCUGGAGUGUCGGAGAGGCAGGCGGAAUUCCUAGUGUAGCGGUGAAAUGCGUAGAUAUUAGGAGGAACACCAGUGGCGAAGGCGGCUUACUGGACUGUAACUGACGUUGAGGCUCGAAAGCGUGGGGAGCAAACAGGAUUAGAUACCCGGGUAC
This 447-nucleotide ribosomal RNA is filed under the name uncultured bacterium. RNAcentral's name for it is "partial 16S ribosomal RNA". It matches the Rfam family "Bacterial small subunit ribosomal RNA", at positions 329 to 793 of the family's 1533-position model. The record is from RNAcentral.